Molecule: unclassified non-coding RNA, 312 nt
Filed under: plant metagenome
Description: partial contains 5.8S ribosomal RNA, internal transcribed spacer 2, and large subunit ribosomal RNA
Rfam family: 5.8S ribosomal RNA (bases 1-105)
Source: RNAcentral
GAAAUGCGAUAAGUAAUGUGAAUUGCAGAAUUCCGUGAAUCAUCGAAUCUUUGAACGCACAUUGCGCCCUCUGGAAUUCCGGGGGGCAUGCCUGUCCGAGCGUCAUUACGCACCCUCAAGCCCGGCUUGUGUGAUGGGCCCCGGCGUCUCGUUCGCGAGACGGGCCCGAAAGGCAGCGGCGGCGUCGACCCGAUGAGCCCGAGCGUAUGGGGACUUCUGUCACACGUUCGCGGUGCGGACCGGCGCCUGCUUGACUUUUCUGAUUAUCCAGGUUGACCUCGGAUCAGGUAGGGAUACCCGCUGAACUUAAGC